This 3189-nucleotide long non-coding RNA is filed under the name Homo sapiens (human). RNAcentral's name for it is "non-protein coding lnc-ABHD12-1:6". The record is from RNAcentral. Lineage: Eukaryota; Metazoa; Chordata; Mammalia; Primates; Hominidae.
GCGGCAGCGACCUGUCCACGCCACCUGAGCGUGGUGUUUGCCCCCUCGUUGGGCAAGCCCGGCAGAAAGUGGGAGCGACUGGAGGGGGCAAGGGACCCGGGGCCUCGGAGCGUGCCGUCGUGGCCGCUCCUGCCAGCCCGGGGACGGUGCGGGAAGGGGGCCCUGCCCUCCGGCCCUCGGGUUCCUGGGACCGGCCCUCCCGCCCUGCACCGGGUCACCAGGUGCCCCGCGGGAGCGCGCUGGGCUCGGGCUGUGGCCGAGACCUGGUACACGUUCGGGGAAACUGAUUACAGCUUGAAAGGCAUCCACCAACGCCUGCUGGGCCCGGUCUUCUCUGUCCGGGGCAGGGCGGCUCUGAAAAUACCAGCUAUUUGCUUGCCACUCCAGGCCGAUGACAGACGUGGAGAAAACCAGCUGCCAGCGAGCUGGAGACGCCCGUUCCCGAGGGCGCGAGGCAGCCACAGCCAAAUGCCACCACGACCCCGCCUCGGAGGGACCGCAGCCCCCUAGCCCUCGGAGAAACCCUGUUCCCGAAACCACCUGGCAGACGCUGUCCGCUUUGAGAUUACAGCAGGGAGAAGGAAACAUGCCCGUCUGGCCGGGGAGCUCAGCCACUAACCGAGACUUAGCCUCUGUCAUCCCAAUCCAGGCUGCAGCUCCAGAUAGGGGGCGUCUGCACACAGCUUCCCACACUUGGCCCCGCGGAACACAGUCCUGCUGGCCUCAGCCUGUGGGAACCCUGCUUCAUGUAAAGGUCACCUAAACUCUGCCUUCCCUCAACCCCUUCAAACUCUGCCUUUCCCUUCGUUCUUGGGAGGCGCUCCCUCAUUGCAGUGGGUCAGUACACCCGAUUUUGUGGACCACAGGUUUGCUCCUGGUGGUCUUGGGCUGAAGGGGCUGCAAAGGUUACUGAAUUUCGUGGAGGUAAAAAUUGCCCGCAGGAAAUGUCAUGAAAGUCCAGGUGCAGUAGGUUUCCUGGUGUGAUGCUUCAAAGUUAUCUUCUUACCUGGAGCCCCUUCCAGCUGCAGACUUCAGAGGUCGGAGGUUAAUCAAUCUGGAAUGACCCCACAGCCCACCCAGCUCCAGCUCGGGAUUCACUCCUGCACUAUGUCCUAGGGAUUCUGGAGCCAACAAGAUCGAACUUCGGGCACAGAUGGCAGGGCUGUGGGGUCGAGCUUGGCUGCAAGCUCCGAACACUGAUGCAAUCUCUCUGAGGGUGAUCUGGCAAUUCAGAAGUCAUAAAAAUGAUAGUGCCCUAUGACCACUUCUACCACUCUGGGGAAUUGAGUUCAAGGAAAGCUUAAGAAGACAAAAAGCAAGUUAUGCAAAUAUGUUAUCUGCUGUGGUGUGGUAAAGUUUAAUCCCCCAGCUGUGGUGCACACCUGGCAAAGAAUGGAGGCGCUGACACUUAUUGAUCAUUACUUGCAGUGUACACGUAUUAACUCCUGAUCCCUGCAAAUAGCCUGCUAUUACCCCCGCUUGACAAUGGAGAAGUUAUCUUACCCAGAUGUCAUUUCCUCUUCCUGGGAGCUGCCAUGGUCCUUCCCCUCUCCUGCAGCACUUAGUCCAAUACUGAAUCUUCAUGAUGUGACUCUUCAUAAUGCGCAUGGUUGACGCAGGAAGGAGCCCUCUCACCAUCAUGUCUCCUCACCUCCUCUGGCCGCUAAUAUUGCUGAAGUGGCUAAAUGAGUCCCAGUAUUAAUUAUCUCAGCCAUUUUCAGUUGUCUAAGUUUCUGUCACUCUUCGGCAGCAGAGGUGAGCAGCCAAAACAGAGACUGCAUGGCCUGCAAAGCCUGAAAUAUUUACCGGCUGCUCUUUACAGAAAGAGUUGGCCGUUCACUACCCUGGAGUGUGGACCUCUGGGCGAGGAACCUGUAUCCGUAGCGCUGCCUUGCACGUCCAGGCUCACAGAUAUUCAUCCAAAAGAAAUAAAAAUAUAUGCCUAUAAAAGCCUUGCACAAGAAUGGACACAGAAGACUUAUUCAUUAAAGCUCCAAAGAGGAAACGGCCCAGGGGAAUAUCAACAGGCAAAUGAAGAAACAAAGUGUGGUAUGUUGAAAUAAUUGAUUACUAUUCAACAAUGAAAAGGAAUGAGCUGCAUGCAUCCACCUGCAUGAAUCUCACAAACAUCAUGCUUAGCUGAAGACCAGACACACAAGAGCAGACACUGGAUGAUGCCAUUUACAUAAUGUUCCAGAACGGGUGACAGUAAUACGUCAUGACGGACAUCAGAUAGGGGCUGCUAGAGUCCAGGGGCAGGGUACUCUCAGAGUUUUCUGGGGUAAUAGCAAUGUUCUCUAUUUUGAUGGGGGUGUGAGCCACAUGGGUGCAUGCAUUUGCCAAAAUGAUUUGAACUGUACACCUAAGAUCUGUGUGUCCUAUUAUGUGAGGAAAAGAGAGAUCAGAUUGUUACUGUGUCUGUGUAGAAAGAAGUAGACAUAGGAGACUCCAUUUUGUUCUGUACUAAGAAAAAUUCUUCUGCCUUGAGAUUCUGUUAAUCUGUAACCUUACCCCCAACUCUGUGCUCCUUGAAACAUGUGCUGUGUCAACUCAGGGUUAAAUGGAUUAAGGGCUGUGCAAGAUGUGCUUUGUUAAACAGAUGCUUGAAGGCAGCAUGCUCCUUAAGAGUCAUCACCACUCCCUAAUCUCAAGUAUCCAGGGACACAAAACACUGGGGAAGGCCGCAGGGACCUCUGCCUAGGAAAGCCAGGUAUUGUCCAAGGUUUCUCCCCAUGUGAUAGCCUGAGAUAUGGCCUCAUGGGAAGGGAAAGACCUGACCAUCCCCCAGCCCGACACCCAUAAAGGGUCUGUGCUGAGGAGGAUUAGUAAAAGAGGAAAGAACGCCUCUUUGCAGUUGAGACAAGAGGAAGGCAUCUGUCUCCUGCUCGUCCCUGGGCAAUGGAAUGUCUUGGUGUAAAACCCGAUUGUAUAGUCCAUCUACUGAGAUAGGGGAAAACCGCCUUAGGGCUGGAGGUGGGACAUGAGGGCAGCAAUACUGCUUUUUAAGGCAUUGAGAUGUUUAUGUGUAUGUAUAUCUAAAGCACAGCACUUAAUUCUUUACCUUGUUCAUGAUGCAGAGACCAUUGUUCACGUGUUUACCUGCUGACCUUCUCUCCACUAUUAUCCUAUGACCCUGCCACAUCCCCCUCUCCGAGAAACACCCAAGAAUGAUCAAUAAAUACUAAGGGA